UAUUGGUUUUUCAAAUCAAAAAUAUGAAAAUGGCCCCCGCUUGCUUUGAUUUUUCAGUGGAAAAAGUUUGGACACCCCUGCCAUAUGGUCUCCACAUCAAAGGUCCAUUUCCCUACGAAGACCAUGCAUCCUGCCCAUCAACCAAUGGCCUCAGCAGCCAAGUUUGAUCACUCUAUGGAGGCUGUACACCCCUCCCAUCCCCACACCGCUGGCCCAUCACCAAAUGUCCACACCUAUGGUCCUUCACCCGGCGUACACAAUAGCUUGCUACCUGAAUCCACCUGAGAAUAAAAAGGCAGCUUUCCUGGCACCAGACAGGAGAGAUGCAGGCAACCCAUCUAUUGAGGACACUAUCUGUUAUCAACCACAGGCAGAAAAAUCAUGGACGCCAUGUGAUGGAAAAAAUGUGGGCAGAAAAAGAAGGAAUUGAAGAAGUCCUCUUGAAAAUAGAUCCGGUCCAAGUCAGAGUACUUCAAACUCUCUGCGACUUGGUUGGAGACAAAUACAGCGACGGCCCUCCUCAACAAUCGGGCCAGCAAGAGCUCUUUCCUGAGAGCGGCGUAUUCAUAUCAUUGUUCCGCCUUGCUGCCAUGAGACAUGCUGCAGAGCCCAAAUGUAGGCCUUUAUUUGGACCUCUUUUUUCUACGUGUCAAAAUGCUGUCCCUUUUUGACGCCCUGGAAACAAACCUGCAGGAACACCAAAGCGGAAAAAAGUGGAAGGAAUCCUUAGUAAGUUUUCCCAAACAGAGGGUGUUUUCAGGCCAAAAUUGGGUCACAAUAAUGAAAUAGAAGUUCAAUAUGAGAAAUGUUGAUCCCUUUUCGAUUACAGCAGACUGGAAGCAUAACUGAAUGUUACAUCAUUACAAUUUGUUAUCCACUCCAAACUAGCGUUAUGAUGAGCAAUAUAGUCUGAUGUCCAUCAACUUGAAGUGUGGUUGUGUGUAUUAAUGGUUUUGCGUAAAUGAAGGCUUUAAAGGGCAAUAAAAAAGCAUUAAAUGAGGCAUUUAAAAAAGGGAAUAUGAUUGUAGGACAUGGCGGACAGUCAAUAUGUCAAACGGUAAAGGAAAAUGAACUUAAGAAGGUUACAGUCGUUUCUUUUUUGAACUGCAUACAAGAGGUAUUGUAAGGUGGGAACACGACAAAAGCACUGCUUCAAUCAAGCAAAAUGAAACAUCAACUUUUCCAUUCUUUGGUCACUGUAGGCGUGUAGUCCUUAACUGUGACACCAUGUCAGGAUAAUGGAGAAGCUGAGCCGACACGGAGUCGUUUAUUUCAAUCAUCUCCACUUCAACACA
This is a long non-coding RNA of Nerophis ophidion (straightnose pipefish), 1295 nucleotides long. RefSeq lists it as uncharacterized. The transcript has 2 exons. The record is from RefSeq and is a predicted model, not a curated record. NCBI's taxonomy places the organism in Eukaryota, Metazoa, Chordata, Actinopteri, Syngnathiformes, Syngnathidae.